GAUGAACGCUAGCGGCAGGCUUAAUACAUGCAAGUCAAGGGGGUAGCAAUACAACCGGCGCACGGGUGAGUAACGCGUACACAACAUACCAUAUACUGGAGUAUAGCUUUGGGAAACUGAAGGUAAUCCUCCAUAACAUUGCGAGAGGGCAUCUGAUUGCAAUUAAAGUUUCGGCGGUAUAUGAUUGGUGUGCGUUUGAUUAGCUAGUUGGUAGGGUAACGGCCUACCAAGGCGACGAUCAAUAGCUGGCGUGAGAGCGCGACCAGCCACACUGGAACUGAGACACGGUCCAGACUCCUACGGGAGGCAGCAGUAGGGAAUAUUGGACAAUGGAGGAAACUCUGAUCCAGCCAUGCCGCGUGACAGAUGAAGGCCCUCUGGGUUGUAAAUAUCUUUUAUCUGGGAAGAAACACUCCUAUUCUUAGGAACUUGACGGUACCAGAGGAAUAAGCACCGGCUAACUCCGUGCCAGCAGCCGCGGUAAAGUAUCG
Molecule: ribosomal RNA, 491 nt
Filed under: uncultured bacterium
Lineage: Bacteria
Description: bacterial SSU rRNA
Rfam family: Bacterial small subunit ribosomal RNA
Source: RNAcentral